UAUAAGUAAAAUAACUAUAUAAAUAUCGAAAUAACUAAAAACAUUUAUAAAUUUAGUAAAGGUGAUAGAAACUUAUUUUACGAAAUAGAAGUACUGAGAAGGAAAUCACUUUAAUUAAAAUAUAUAAAGAAUAAACUUUUGUACCUUUUGCAUCAUGGUUUAGCCAGAUUUAAUUCUUAUAUAAAAUUUCUCGAAAUCUAAUGGGCUAUUUUUGAUCAUACUAUUAGGUAAAAGAAAAGUAGUUGUGGCAAAAACUUUUUUAGAAUCAAAAAUAGAAAUGAAAUUUUAUCCGUAUUAGAUGAUAGCUAGUUUUUUCCUAAAGGUAUAGAAGUACUACGAAUUUUUUUAUGCUAUAAAAUAUUUUAUUUAUAGUAUAUAUAUAAAGUUUAGUUAAAUUUUAGAGGAUAAGCUCAAGAAUAAAAUAGUAUGUAUAUUAAAUGUUAAAUAGUUAAAUUUAGGCUUGAAAAUGGCCAUAAUAAAGAUUUUGUUAUAAUUUCAUUACUCUAAUGACAUAAAAUAAAUCUAUUUUAAUUAAGGAAAAAAGGUUUUUUAAUUUUCUAAAGAAUUAAAUGUAUGCUAAAAUGAGUAUUAAUUAUUUUUUAAUUUUUAUCAUAAUAAAUUUAUAAACUAAAAAAAAUAUACUAUUUGCAAAUUAAUAAAAGGAACUCGGCAAAACUUAAUUCCGCCUGUUUAUCAAAAACAUGGCUCCUUGUUUUCAUCUAUAAGGAGUCGGACCUGCUCGGUGAAUUGUUUUAACAGCCGCGGUACUCUGACCGUGCAAAGGUAGCAUAAUCAUUUGCCUUAUAAUUGAAGGCUAGUAUGAAUGGUUUGACGAGAAUUAAGCUGUCUCUUUUUAAAUAGAUAUAAUUUUAUAUAUAGGUGAAGAAGCCUAUAUUUUAUUGAAAGACAAGAAGACCCUAUCGAGCUUUAAAGAAUUUAAUGGACUUAUCAUAUAUUUAUUAAAAAAGUAAGGCCAUUGAAAAUUUUGGUUGGGGCGACUGAGGAACAAAGAAAGCUUCCUUUUAUUUUAGAAAUCUACUAGUAUUGAUCCAAUAAAUUUGAUUAAAGGAAUUAGUUACCGUAGGGAUAACAGCAUAAUCUUCUUUGAGAGUUCCCAUCGAAAAGGAGGUUUGUGACCUCGAUGUUGGACCAGAAUACCCAGAAGAUGCAGCCGUCUUCAAUGGUUGGUCUGUUCGACCAUUAAAAUUCUACGUGAUCUGAGUUCAGACCGGCGUGAGCCAGGUCAGUUUCUAUCUUCAAUUUUUAAAAUAAUCUUAGUACGAAAGGACCAGAUUAUUACAAGAAUUUUUGUUAUAUUUGAUUAAAUAUAAAGAACAUUUCAAAGGAUGACAU
This 1353-nucleotide ribosomal RNA is filed under the name Purpura persica. RNAcentral's name for it is "large subunit ribosomal RNA". It matches the Rfam family "Bacterial large subunit ribosomal RNA", at positions 459 to 2770 of the family's 2925-position model. The record is from RNAcentral. Lineage: Eukaryota; Metazoa; Mollusca; Gastropoda; Neogastropoda; Muricidae.